RNAcentral lists this ribosomal RNA (491 nucleotides) under uncultured bacterium. RNAcentral's name for it is "partial 16S ribosomal RNA". It matches the Rfam family "Bacterial small subunit ribosomal RNA", at positions 29 to 507 of the family's 1533-position model. The record is from RNAcentral.
AGUGAACGCUGGCGGUAGGCCUAACACAUGCAAGUCGAACGGCAGCACAGUAAGAGCUUGCUCUUACGGGUGGCGAGUGGCGGACGGGUGAGGAAUACAUCGGAAUCUACUUUUUCGUGGGGGAUAACGUAGGGAAACUUACGCUAAUACCGCAUACGACCUACGGGUGAAAGCAGGGGAUCUUCGGACCUUGCGCGAUUGAAUGAGCCGAUGUCGGAUUAGCUAGUUGGCGGGGUAAAGGCCCACCAAGGCGACGAUCCGUAGCUGGUCUGAGAGGAUGACCGGCCACACUGAAACUGAGACACGUCCCAAACUCCAAGGGAAGGCAGCAGUGGGAAAUAUUGGACAAGGGGCGCAAGCCGGACCCAGCCAAACCGCGUGGGUGAAGAGGGCUUUGGGGUUGUAAAUCCCUUUUUCGGGGAAAAAAAGCCAGCGGUUUAUACCCCCCUGUUUUGACGGUAACCCAAAAAUAAGCCACGGCCAAAUUCGUU